UUCGGGUGUGAAUUAGCGGCGAACGGGUGAGGAACACGUGAAGAAUCUGCCUUCAACUCUGGGAUAACUCCGGGAAACCGGGGCUAAUACCGGAUAUGAGCCUUGAUCGCAUGAUCGGGGCUGGAAAGUUUUUCGGUUGAAGAUGACUUCGCGGCCUAUCAGCUUGUUGGUGAGGUAAUGGCUCACCAAGGCGACGACGGGUAGCCGGCCUGAGAGGGCGACCGGCCACACUGGGACUGAGACACGGCCCAGACUCCUACGGGAGGCAGCAGUGGGGAAUAUUGGGCAAUGGAGGAAACUCUGACCCAGCGACGCCGCGUGAGGGAUGAAGGCCUUCGGGUUGUAAACCUCUUUCAGUAGGGAAGAAGCGAAAGUGACGGUACCUACAGAAGAAGCACCGGCUAACUAUGUGCCAGCAGCCGCGGUAAUACAUAGGGUGCAAGCGUUGUCCGGAAUUAUUGGGCGCAAAGGGCUCGUAGGUGGUUCGAUACGUCGGAUGUGAAAAUCAGGGGCUCAACCCCUGACCUGCAUCCGAUACGGUCGAGCUAGAGUUUGGUAGGGGAGACUGGAAUUCCUGGUGUAGCGGUGGAAUGCGCAGAUAUCAGGAGGAACACCGAUGGCGAAGGCAGGUCUCUGGG
Molecule: ribosomal RNA, 638 nt
Filed under: uncultured Actinomycetes bacterium
Lineage: Bacteria; Bacillati; Actinomycetota; Actinomycetes
Description: bacterial SSU rRNA
Rfam family: Bacterial small subunit ribosomal RNA
Source: RNAcentral